RNAcentral lists this long non-coding RNA (915 nucleotides) under Vitis vinifera (wine grape). RNAcentral's name for it is "long non-coding RNA (VVIN_LNC007042)". Lineage: Eukaryota; Viridiplantae; Streptophyta; Magnoliopsida; Vitales; Vitaceae. The record is from RNAcentral.
UCUAUGUAAGAAAACAAAUUUUACAUUAAAAUUAUCUAAAACAAUCAUCCCUUUCCUAAUAACCCUGCAAAAUAGAGAUAACAUACCCUAAUAUCUAAAACAAUCUCUGGCUAAUACAAGUUGUGUUGGACGGUUUAAUAUUCGCCAAGGCUUUGGUGUGCAUGCAUUUGAGAUCCUAGGCAUAAUUGAAAUGAUUAAAAAUCAAAACUUUAGCCCCACAAGGUGUGUUAGAAAUCACACUUAAGAUUUGAAUGUUCCCAAAUCCAAAUCCGAUCCUUUUCCAUAAAAGAUGUCUCGAAACCUUGAGAUUGUGAUCUUCCAUUUGAUGGCCCCUUCUUUGAUCAAUGGUACUUAUAAAGAAUGACUGGACGCUUUUUGAGAAAGAAGAGAUUUUGUUUCAUUUUUAGGACAACACACAAUAUCGAUAAGGGCAGGCUACAUCUUUCAGAAUGGAAGACUCACGCACCACAGCGUAAAGAGGAAUCUCCACAUGAGCCACAUCAUUGAGAAUUUGGGGAGGCAGCCGCAGCAUUCAGAAUUUGGGAGCAGUAGCCAGCAAAGAUGGAAAGACGGCCACGCCAUUGCUCUCCAAUAGUAGGCCACACCAUUAGUAGAAUGAAGGGCACGCAUACACCAAGGAGAAAAGGCACUAGAAUUUUAAAAUGGGUAUCGUCUUUCAAAGCAACAUGCAGCAAGCAACUUUAGGGAGAAGGACCACGCACAGUCCAUUGUGACAACCCACACGCACAGGAAAUCUCCACACCGGCAGUACGCAAUUGGAAAGGAGAUUUCUUUUCUCAACAAGCAACACGCACCACACAGCCUCCAUAGGAUUUCAAGAACACGACUUGCACCUUUGGGACGCACCAAGGAUUCUUUCUCCAGGCACGAUGGAGUAGUUUUGAAGAACAUAAC